GACGAACGCUGGCGGCGUGCUUAACACAUGCAAGUCGAACGGUAAGGCCCCUUCGGGGGUCCACGAGUGGCGAACGGGUGAGUAACACGUGAGCAACCUGCCCUUGACUCUGGAAUAACAGUUGGAAACAGCUGCUAAUACUGGAUAUUCAUCGUCUCCUUCCUGGGGGGCGGUGGAAAGCUCCGGCGGUCAGGGAUGGGCUCGCGGCCUAUCAGCUUGUUGGUGAGGUAAUGGCCCACCGAGGCGUCGACGGGUAGCCGGCCUGAGAGGGCGACCGGCCACACUGGGACUGAGAUACGGCCCAGACUCCUACGGGAGGCAGCAGUGGGGAAUAUUGCACAAUGGGCGCAAGCCUGAUGCAGCAACGCCGCGUGCGGGAUGACGGCCUGCGGGUUGUAAACCGCUUUCAGUAGGGACGAAGGGUGACUGACGGUACCUACAGAAGAAGGACCGGCUAACUACGUG
This 465-nucleotide ribosomal RNA is filed under the name uncultured bacterium. RNAcentral describes it as "partial 16S ribosomal RNA". It matches the Rfam family "Bacterial small subunit ribosomal RNA", at positions 28 to 507 of the family's 1533-position model. The record is from RNAcentral.